Chelonia mydas (Green sea turtle) is the source of this 6669-nucleotide long non-coding RNA. RefSeq lists it as uncharacterized. The record is from RefSeq and is a predicted model, not a curated record. The transcript is spliced from 10 exons. Lineage: Eukaryota; Metazoa; Chordata; Testudines; Cheloniidae.
CAGGCUAGUAUAAAAGGAGCUGCAGGGCCACAGUGAAUGCAAUUUCUUGCUGGAGCUGGUGGAAUGUGGAUGGUGUGCCUGGCUGGCUGAGGGAGCUACAGGACCUCGGACAGAGCAGUGCUGGUAGAGACUGGGGGAAGUGAGAAGGAAUUCACGGCUGGCUGCUGGGAAUCAAUCAGGACAAGGCUCUGAGACUGUGUGGGACUCAGCCAGAGGGCUAAGUUGCUGGAGACUCACCGCAAGGCAGAGAGAAAGUGCAGACACACGCAGUAAGAGAAGGGGACACUCGCGAGAGUAACAGAAGCUAAGUAAAGACCAUAAGGAGUGUAGCCAAAACAGUCCAAAACAAGUUUCAGGAUCUGACAAGAAAUCUCUGCAGUCGUUGGCAGUAUCCUCGGUGUGGACCUGCAUUCCAGCUGCCCACUUCCUAAUCUCUGUUUAAUCACAGAUCAGCAUUUUAAGCGAACCUUGGAAAAACGACUGUGUGAUCAGACACUGCACUGCAAGCAAGAAUACCCAUUUGGUAAUUGUAGUCGUGGACAAAAAGCUGAAUGCUGUGCUUUCAGUAACUUAUCAUUGAGACCUUGUGGUUUCUGUGUAGGAGGGUUGUACAAGCUGGACACGUUUGACAUCCUUAUUUCUGAGCUGUGAAAUCUGUUCAUCUAACUUAUGAAAAUUACUUCUGCUUUUAUUUUAUUUAAUUAAGUCAACGCCAUAUUUUCCUUGCAUUCAGUGGAAACAAAAACAAUGGAAAUGUUUUAGGGUAUGCUGUGAACCUGCUUUGACCUCCAAAAGAGAAAAGGAUGAAUAUGUUCAUUUCUAUGAUUAACAGUCAGGAUGCUUUACUUAUAGAAGUAAGCUUAAAUAAAAUACUAUAACCAAUUGAUUGGAGAGAGGGGAGCAUUUCUCUGAUGUGGAGAUAGAAGAUUCAUUACUGUGCCAUGUUAGUAUCAUGUUUUUAAUCCUUGAUUUUCUACUGUAAGUAUGAUAAUAACAUAGAACCAUGUAAAUAUCUGUAGUUCUUUUAGAGGGCUAAAUCUGGUUCUUCAUACCGAAAAUGGAUUACUUUGGGAUGGGGAGGUCUGAAUAGUCUUCCCAUGCUGUAGAGAAGUCACUCCUGCACCUCUGUUCUGCAAGUAAUAGAUCCACUGGCGUCAGCCUGUCUCUUCCCCCAGGCCACUCCUACUCUAGCUGCUAUGAAGAUACAUACCAGGAGCCCCCAGAGAGGUGAGAUUUGUAGAAUGCAGAGCAUUUGGGCCUAUGUGGGUUCAGCAAAUCCUGUCUCCCCUCAUUGUCCUGCAUAGCAGAACCCCACCAACUGCACCACACCUGGGGCCUUCUGCAGGGGCAAGAUCAGUGCCCAUGCAGCCAAUACAUCAUACUCCAAAAUGAAGCAAUAGAAUGACUCAAAUCCUAUGCAUGUGAAGGAGACCACUCAAAGAUUCAAAACAGACCCACAAUCUUUCUUGGAUAUGUCUAUACUACAAAUGCUACAGCAGCACACUACAGGUAUGCUGCUAUAGUGUAGACACUAGAGCGAGGGAAGUGGUUUUUCCUGUUUAGUAAAUCCACCUGCCUUUUGAGAGUCUGAUGGAAGAAUUCUUCUUUUGACGUAGCUGCAUCAGCCGUGGCGGUCAGGUUGACUUAACUACAUCUCACAGGCUGUGAAAUUUUUCACAGCCCUGAGUGAUAUAGCUAGGACGACCUAAGUUUUAGGUAUAGACCCAGACCCUGGCAAAAUAGAAGAGGAACUAGUACUUUUGUGGAUGUUUCGCCCCAUCUGUUUUCUGCAACCUCAUCUGUGGCAGAAAAAUCCACCUGAAAGCAUUAAAGACAAUAGAACCCUUUUGCAUGCAUUUUGUGUUAACAAAGAUUUAGAGUGUGAUUAUCACUGAACAAUCAUUUUGGAAGAGAUGGCCAUGAGAAGCUCAUGUUACUAACUCUGAUUUUUGUAUCUCAAACAUGCCUUUGCAAGUAAAAAGAUCAAAUUUUUAACUACAAAUUUUCUCAAUGAUCUCAGUUUCAGACAUGCUCCUUUGCAGGUAAAAAGAUGUGUGUGUUAAGUGCCACGCUUGCGAAAUCUCCCUUGGAUCUGAAAAUCAAGGGGGUGAUACUGCUCAUGCUUAAUCAACACAACCUGAACAAAGAGAGGCACGUAAUAGUGGGAGGAUGACAAGUGAUGGUCUUGAGACACUGGAGCCUGGGCUACACUAUGAAGGUUUACCAGUAAGACUUGCCUUAUGCGGGAAUAUCUUUGCAUGUAUCCACACACAAUUUUGCAUCCUGUCAGUAAAACUCUCCUAUUCUGUCAGGCAAAUUAAACCACCUCGCCAAACGACAUAAGCCCUGUACCAGCACUGUUCUGUUGGUAUGUUGCCUGUGUUGACACUGUAUUACCUCAUCCAAUAUAAACCAUCCUCUAGCAACAAUCACACCGGGCCCCGUCCCAGUGACAGUGACGGCUGUGGUCCAGUUUUGAACUCUGCUGCCCAGGGCUCAGAGCAUGUGGCUCCAAGGGUAGGGUGGUGCUACAGGGUUUCCCUAGCGAUUCCAAACACAGGGACUAGGGGCCUUGUUGUGGGCUGCCAGACCAGAAGCCUGCCGCCCAUUGUAACCUCCCCAGCCUGUUCUGGAAAUUUCUCUCUUCCUACGAGCCCACCUUUGCAAGCACACCUGUGGUAGCCCAGUGCACAGGUCUGUCACCAGACGGAGCUACGGCGAAGUUCAGGCAAGCCUCAUGCUGCAGCCUGGGUCAAGAGAGGAGUUCUGGACUUCCUCAGCCUGAGGGAAGAAGGGGCAGCACAAGCCCCACUGCGGAAUUGCCAUAGGAAUAAAGAUGUUUGUUCUGACAUUACAAAGAAGAAACUAAAGGUGGGGUAGGCCAGGGUUAAGAAGCAAUGCCAGGAAAGGGGGAAGGGAACUAUAGCAGUCCUAUCAAAAGGCAAUGGAGGUUUCCUGCUACACCUUCUGAUAUUAUGAUGAUGCUGCAUGCCAUACUGGGCGGGGACCCCACACAACCACCCUGUGAGUGACAGUGGACUGAAAUCCAGAGACAGCCGUCUCCAGUAGCUCACAGCAAUGAAGAACUCAUACAAAGGAUGCUGAUCCCAUGGAAAGCCAGGCGCUCUUCAACAGCCAGCCAAACCCAACCCAGACAAGUCCUGAAGUGGAACCCACUGAUGAAGGGGAAGGGAACUCAGGUAAAUGUAUUAAUUCAUGCAGCUUUUUUUUUAAAAAAAAUGUGUUCACAGGCCCCAAAAUCCCCCUCCCCGCUUUUUUUUCCUGCCCUCUUCUCCCUCUUAAAAUGGUGGCUGAAUGCAUGCAGGCAGCAAACAAAAUAAAUUGCUUUUUGGACUAGUUGGUUUAUUUUAACAUUCAUUGGCACUAAGAGGCAAAAAGUAAGACUAAAUAUGAUAAGCAACAGAAAAACAUUCCCACAUGCAUGCUAAUGUCAGGGUAGGCAGAUAGAAUGUCUAGCAACAUAAGCUGAUGUAUUCUUGUAAACGGAACAAGAACUACGCUGAAACCUAUAUGUAAGCGUUAAAAUAAAAAACUUAGAAAAUUUAAAAUAAUCCUUGCAGGCAAUCCAGUAAGUGGUAAUUAAUAGUACAUAUUUUUAUGAAUAAAACUGUAAAGCAAACAUAUAAUGAAAACAUAAAAACACUGUGCUUUGUUUUUCCAGGCUGAGUCCAAGUCCAAAAUGAAUUACUUGCAUGCUGAUCUUGGAUUCAGGGGUAGAAAUGACUUAUUGCUGGCUCAGGGGGUUUAGCUUUGAACGGGUUUGCAGAACUAGACCGUGAUGACAACCCUUCUUUUUCAGAGUUUUAGGUUGACCUUGACAAGAAUAUUCCGUUUGUCUUCUGGCACAGUCUAGAUAAAGUUGUCAAGCACGUAUUCGUUAAGCUCUGACCGAAAAUUUCUCAGAAAAGCUGCCUUGUUCCUCAUGCUGCAGUAGGGCAUCUUCCCACACUGCUCUCAGUGAGUUCUAGUGGCACUGUCACUAUGAAGAAACCAGCAACGUACAGGCCAGGUGGCCUCAAGCAGUUGCCUUCUCUGGGCCUUUGCCACCCUCAGGAGUGAUAUCUCAGCCAGGUUCACCGCUGCCUUUUAUAAGUUUUACAAUAUUUACUGUACUAUCCCUACACUUAUUACCUGAGACACAUGACAGUCCACCCUCACCCCCUUUACUACAGAUUUUGAAAUAUACCCUCAUAUAAUCACCAUGCUGGGAGCUGCUGCUAUGAUUGGUUUUCCUCCCCUUUCUCAUCUAUCUGCUACACCUUCUACCAAGUUUGGCUUUCCCCUUGCCUUUGUUAUCCCUUUUAUGCUCGAGCUCUGCUGAGUGCCUCUGGAGGAAGCCCCAUGGCUAUGCCUCACUGCAAAUUGUCUUUAACAAGCAACAGGAAGCUGAAACAAUUCUCCUUUUCCCUGAUAUAUUCACAUACCUCUAUCCCUUGAGAAUUCCUUCAUUUAUCAUACCCUAUGUCUUCCUCUCUGACAUGCUCUGUUGUCUCCUCUAUUCCCAGGAUCUUGCCAAUUAUUUUAAAGUUAGGACUGACAUAUAAGUGGCACAAUGACUCACUUCCCUCUUCCUCAUUUCUAUUAUCCCUUUAUCUGACUUAUGCGAGCCUCUCACCACACAACCUGUCCCCUUGGCCCCCUCCCCUCCCAUAUGCUGUCCUUCUUUAUUUCAUCUCUCAACUUCGCUUCACCCUGGCUUCUUUGCUUUUACUUUCAUAAAAACACUUAAUCACACUUGCUUCUCCAGUUUCCAUCAUAAUUCCCUCCUCCAUUUUACCACUGUGCUCCUUGCACUUGAUUCUGUUUUCUCCAAUUCACUCCCUGAUUAGUUUCAUUCUGGCCUCAGACCACUCCACACUAAUGAAAGUGUUCUAACCAGAACAAUACUGGUUCAGUUCUAACACCAUUGCAGUGUCAGUCCAGGUCCUUUUAGACUUGAUCUGUCUCUGUCUGUGCUCCCCCAAGCAUAUUUCUUACCUUUAAGAGAGCUCAAAAAAUGACAUAGCCAAAAGCUUUACAAGUUUAUUGAAAUAGGUACUCCAUAACGUGUAUAUAAUUAAAUACUCCUAUUGUGUAACUCUGAAAUACCUCACAGAAGUGUCUAUACCUUCCUUUUUCCAAAAGGUGAAAACAAUUAUCCAUUGUAGAUGGGGGAAGCCAGUUGGUGUUCAAGACGAUGGGUGCCAAAAAAGAGGAUUUUUUUUAAAACAAAGAACAAUCUGACUGUGAUACAUCAUGGCCAGAGGGCAGCAGAAGAGUGUUAGAAGGGAGCCUUAUUCCCUGUAGAGGGAAGAAAGUUUGCUAUAAAUUAAUUAAAUUACCUGAAGCCAGUCACAUGAUAAAACCCCCCUGCUUCAAUCAGACAAGAGGAGGAGUUGAAGCAGAGUGGAUUGGUGUCGGAGCAGAGAGCAGUUUGGAGGAAAGCAGAGGAGAGUUUGGAGAAGUGCUGCGAUGGGCUAAGAAGACCAAGACCCUAGAUGCCCUGAACUUGGAUCAGUGAAGCCAGUCAGUGGAAGGAGGAUCAGGCCCAUAAUGACUACUCUUCAAUCAGGACCUGAUCUUGCAAGCUUGUGUGUGACUCAGCAGAGGGCCAAGUCACUGAAAACCUGCUCGAGAAAUUUAACCAUCAACAGGGGUCACUGCAAGCAGAACAAGGUUGACAGAGUGCAGGUGCAGACAUGCCUGGCUGGCAGGGGCACUCAUGUGAGGCAAUGGUAAACCCAACUGCUUUUUCAGAAAUAAAAAUGAUCUCCCAGUGACUCAACUGUAUGACCUAAGGCAAGUCUUUUCAUCUCUCUGUACCUCAGUUUUCUCACCUAUAUCAUACAUUGUUGGAGAAGGAGAUUUGGCCAACGUGAGCACACAAACAACCCUAAGACAACAAACCAACUUCCAAAGUAUACUUUUAUUGCUAGAUUUUUGUUGGUAUACAAAAUGAAGGAUAAACUGCUAGUUGCAUGAAUUUUUCUCUCACGCUGAUGUAACCGUUAAAUCUGAGCAAUCACAUCUUGUGGAUGUAUUGAUACAUCCUGUGGCCAUAAUAUGUGUUUGACUAUUUUUCCUCAUGAUAUAAAUACUGUAAGGUAUACAGAUACUAAGGCGAUGAGUGUGAGAGAAAUCAUCAGAGAGAGAAAUAGAUAUAAAUUAAUUUCAGGCAUAAUCUCUGAAAAUUUAAGGGGACUUUUACUCUGGUUGACUUUCAGUAAACCUUGUGUAAAGUUCCUGACUAGAGCUGAUGGCUUCAUUAUGUACCUCCUUGGGCAUUUGUACCUCAAAUGCUACUUAUAGCUUUAUGAAGCAGUGUGAGCAAAAUUCAUUUGUCUCUAAAGCUUUGCAUUUAGAGUACUCCAGCUAUUGAGAUAGGGGUGAUGAGCAUGAUUACCAGGGCUUACAUGUCCAUCUUAUGUCCACAGUACAUAAUAUUAAAGGCUUAGACCUUCUGUCAGUCUCUACUCUCUGUAAACUUUGUCACCCCAAUCCUGAAUUUGUAUUUUCCUUCAUAUAGGCCAAAACUGCCUAUUAAUACCUCUAUAAUAUUAACCACUGCCUCAGCUCCACCUCUUUUGAAAUCUUCAUCCACAUCUUCCACUCCUUCAACUCUCACCUUUUUUUACUCUAGUACAGGGGUGGCCAACCUGAGCCUGAGAA